AUGCCUGUUCGAGCGUCAUUUACCCCCUCAAGCUCUGCUUGGUGUUGGGCGCCUGUCCCGCCUCGUGCGCGGACUCGCCUAGAAGACAUUGGCAGCGGUCGUGCCAGCUUCUCGCGCAGCACUUUGCGCUUCUCGAGGCUCCGGCGGAUCAGCGUCCAGCAAGUCCACCUCCAUUUUGACCUCGGAUCAGGUAGGGAUACCCGCUGA
This 207-nucleotide ribosomal RNA is filed under the name Phoma herbarum. RNAcentral's name for it is "5.8S ribosomal RNA". The record is from RNAcentral. Lineage: Eukaryota; Fungi; Ascomycota; Dothideomycetes; Pleosporales; Didymellaceae.